ACCAUCCUGGCCUGACCACUGAAAACCACCCAGAAACUAGUGAGCUGGAUCCUGGGGGCCGCUUCCUACCAGACAGCUUCAGAAAGUAUCGCACUAAACAGACAUCGGGACUCCUUUCUCCUCCCUGGUACUCUGCAGCCCUGGUCCGUGUGUUCCCUUGGGCUUGUCCCUGCCCUUGACCCAGGCUCCUGCCCAUCCCCACCUACUUCCCACCAGCGCAUACUUGUAAGUGAGCUGCUAAGAAACCCUUAACUUCCACGGGAUUCUGAAGGAGGCAAUGGGGUGACAUCCUCCCACCUGCUGUGAUUUUCUGGGUGCUGGCCCAGUUUUUAACAGACCCGAGAGUGUAUGGUCAGCCAGUCACGGCCCUGACCACCUUGUGGUCUCUGACACCCUUGGCCUGCUCCGUGUCAUUACUCAUUUCCACCCAAGCCCUGGAGACGCUGCUCGCCCUCCAUCCACAGCUGCAAUCCCCAGUGGCACAGCACCGGAAGUCAGCAGGACAGCGCCCUGCAGGCACACAUGACCAUGGCUGUCCUGAGUAAGAGACCUGGUGGUCACUUACAGGAAACCCUCCGGAGACGCUGCCUAUCAACCUUGUGCAGAUAGGAGGAGGCUCCUGAGCCUUUGGGAGAUGGUCAGGAUGUCCAUCUCGUCCCAGAAGUUAGGAAGAGUGCUCCGUGACUGUAGGAAGAAACCAGGAAAACUGCAGACAGAGGAGCAGAGAAGCAUGUCAGGCAGGCAAUUACCAGUGAUAGAUGGUGUUUGUCUGACCUCUGAUGCCUGUAGUACUUAUGGGGUCUCAAAGUAAGGUGAUUGGCUGAGAUUCUCCUCAUUCCAAGUAAAUAUUCACAUUUACAGCGACGUUUGUAUUUACAGAUUUCCUUUUUCCUUCCCUGGUUCCCAAAGAUGGAAGAUCUCUGGGCUGUGCACCUGUGCCCACUUCUGUGUGGAGGGCUGCAAAUUACCCCCCAUCUCUGGAGGACUGCAAGCCUCCCUUCCUCCCCCUCUCUCCCUCCCCCAUCCCUCUCUCUGUGUGUGCGUGCUUAUGUGUGUUCAGUUUGCAGCUGCUCUGAUGACAGUGGGGGUGGGGAUAGAGAAAUAGAGGAAGGUUCGAGGGCCCAGCACAGCCUCACGUUCAUGGGACAGCAGCCUCUCUGAGCAGGAAGGAACAAUCUCGACAGGCACGCAAGUGACACUUCCUUUGGGGGGCAAAGCCUGUCUUUGAAGCCCCACAAAUUCGUGCUUCACGGCCUCCAUCACCUUUGGAGAAGCUGUUUUCUUGGGUGUGUAUGCUGUGUAUGUGUACAUACAUGCCUAUGUAUAUGUGCUGGGGUAGAGGUGCCUGUGUUUAUGAGCAUGUGGAGGCCAGAGGUAAAUGUCACUUAUCCUCCUUUAUUGCUCUCCGCCUUAGUUUUGGGGACAUACUGUCUCUUUGGACCUAGAUAUCAGCCAUUCAGUUAGACUACCUGGCCCCAGUGAUCUCCCUGGCACUGGGAUUACUGUCACACACCACGGGGGUGCUAGGUACCCAAACACAGGACUUCUUGCUUAUGUGGCAGACACUUUCCCAACUGAGCAGUCUCCCCAGCCCUCUCCACCUCCCCGUGCCCCUUGUGCCACUGCUGCCAAGCCAGACACAAGCCCUUCCCGGAGGGAAGGCGUAUCCUACAGUCGGAGCCUUGGGGCAGAACUUCACAGCAAUGACAGAGGACCCCAGCAGCUCAUCCGGCUCUUUCCGGAGUAGGGACUUGACUGACGAGUGCAUGGCUCAGUUGCCACGGUCUAAGCAUAGCUCACCAGAUGUGGCUUUUCAUGGAACUGUAGCCAGAAUGCAAGGCCACCAAGCAAUGGUUCCACUGCAUCUGCCUUCGCAAGCUUAAUGUCCUAAUGUCACCAGUUUGAUGAUCAGGUGGCCUCUUCGCUCUCAUUGCACUUCCUACAUGUCAUUGACCUUGGCCAGUCUAGCAGACGCCACAUCUCCCUGGCUCACGGAUGCUGCAUAGCAAGCACCCCAGCUGUCAAGCUAAAAGUAAUGAGGACACCCACUUAGCUCACAGAUUCGCCAUUUUGGAAGAGCUGGGUAGACGGCAACUGUCUGAGCCCUAAACACGGGAGGUGCGAGGAAGAGGGCCGCAUGAGGCAGACAGAGGGCCGUGUGGGGCAGACGACAAGGCCCGAGAGGGGUGGGAUAAUUUGAGACUCAGUGGCCCUCACUCUGCAGGUGCUGAGAGUUUCAGAUUCCCUCGCAGAUGGAAAACCACUGUCUCAGCUCCCACGCCGGUGGCUCUGAGCUCAGGUAAUCAGUACCUCCAGGUUCAUAAACAGAUGCUCCUGUUUAAUGAGGGAAUUUGCAUGAGCAGGAACAUCCUUGGAUGGCGUGUGACCUGAGAAGUGCUGCUCGACGCUUUUGUUCCUUCCUCUGUCACUGCGAUUAAACACCUGCUGGCAGCAACUUAGAAGAGCAUGAAGGAAAGGCGUCCAUUCCAAAAGGACUGGAAUAUAACAAGAGAAGGCUGAAGCAGGACAGGAGCUCAGCCGAGCUAAUGCCAAACCCGAAACUGCCUGUUCAGCAUCUGGAGCUCGUGAGGUCGCUGUCAACACAUGAGAGGGCUUGGCUGGUGCCCCUCCUGCUCUGCUGCCUCUGGUACGUGUGUCUCCUAGCCAGUGCACUUGGUGCUUAUAGCUUUCCUUGGUGAACAAACCAUGCUGUGGGCAUCUCCAAUAGCCCAGGGUCUCUCCUGCAACUUAAGGCCUCACCCACAGUCCACUCGUGAGCUCCUUACCAGGCCUGCUCCACAUUGUCCAGCCUCGGGAGUUUUCCAGAACCUUGACACAAGCUUCUCUCUUGUGUCUUGCAUGAUGCCUGUGAAGAAAGUACCAUAUGGUAGAAGCUUGAGAUGUAGCCUAGCCUCCUUAGGGCAUGACGGCAGUGGCCUGUGUGCAUUUUGUUGGCAGAACCUGGAAAUCCCUUUCUAAGAAGCCACUUUCCAAUAGGGUAGCCUGAAGGCUCUAUCUUUUCUAUUCUUUUUUUGAAUGAAUUCCCAUUUUAAGUCCUAAAACUCUGUUGACAGGGAGGGUCUUACCUUCAAGCACCUUACCUAUUGUCCCAGUACAAAGCAUGGUUUUCUCUUCAUUGUGUCAUCUCUUUAAGAGUCACGGGUGCUUCCUUUGUUCACACUACCUUGUCCAAAAACUUUAACUUCUCUUUAUUUGCCAAAUCACACACAUUUUCACACGCUUCUGCUCUGCUUUCUCUUUUGAAAUUUCGCUGCCAACCUCGCUAAAUGCACUGAACAAUAACACCACCAUAGCCUGAAUAUUUUGCUGUUUUAAAUUUUCUUUCACCAAACAAACCUCAAGCGAUAUCUGUUGUAAUUUUUAAAAAGCAGCUCAAGAGAGAGAGAUGUCAUGUGACGGAUUUCAAGUGGAGGGGUUGUUAUUAAGGGAAAGGGAUUGUAAAAAGGGGAAAGAAGGGGGGGGAGACCAGCCUCCACGGACAGGAGCAGCAGGAGAGAGGAGAGA
Molecule: long non-coding RNA, 3525 nt
Organism: Mesocricetus auratus (golden hamster)
Lineage: Eukaryota; Metazoa; Chordata; Mammalia; Rodentia; Cricetidae
Exons: 3
Source: RefSeq, a predicted model, not a curated record